Long non-coding RNA from Diceros bicornis minor, 1482 nucleotides. RefSeq lists it as uncharacterized. Lineage: Eukaryota; Metazoa; Chordata; Mammalia; Perissodactyla; Rhinocerotidae. The transcript has 6 exons. The record is from RefSeq and is a predicted model, not a curated record.
UAGAGGGAGGAGCAGUGAAAUCUAUCCUUCAGUCUAUACAUAUUUAUUAAGUGCCUACUCUGGUGCUAGGCAGGUCCAAAGAGAUGGGCCUGGGACAUCUAUCUCUUCAGAGGCAGGAGGAAGAGGGGAGUUGAGGAAUCCUGUCUCAUACCCACUGUGGCCACUGUCUCUGACUGGACUGGAAGCUCCGGGAGGGCAGGGACUGCAUGGAUCUUGUCCACCAAGGUAUUCCUAUGACUUAGCACAGCGCCUGGAGUGUAUUAGUUGCUCAAGGAAAUCUUGGCUCCUGCUGUGGAGAAACUCCUCAGGACUUCUGGGCGACAGUAAGUCAGCAAAGAGUCGUGACGAUCAGCUGCUCCUGAGCCAGGCAGCUUUGCAUAUUCUUCAGUGAUAUAACCAGGACCAUAUAACCACCUGGAGAGCACAUGUCUAGAAUCAUGAUGUACCAACAGUCACAAAUCAAGUCCACGGCACACUUACACUGGGGAAUACCAUGCAGCAAUUUAAAAGAAUAAGGUGCCUGUCAGUAUUCUCAGGGAAGCUGAAGAGAGCAGGGCUACGUCCAUGAUGCUGUGCCCAUGAUGCCAUGCUGCGCCCGUGAUGCUGUGCCUGUGAUGCCGUGCUGUGCCCAUGAUGCUGUGCUGCACCCGUGAUGCUGUGUCCAUGAUGCCGUGCUGCGCCCGUGAUGCUGUGCCCGUGAUGCCGUGCUGCGCCCAUGAUGCCGUGCUGCGCCCAAGAUGCUGUGCCCAUGAUGCUGUGCUGUGCCCUCUAUACCUUCCCAUGCCUGAAGCCAUGCCCUUUCCCUGGGAUUCUGCAGUUCUGGCUGCUCUAGGAGCCGAGGAGUUUCCACCCCAUAUAAAAGACUCCUGGGGUGGCCUACUGACCUGGAUUCUCCUCUCAGUAUCCUGACUCCAACUGCCUCUGCUGCCAAACUACACGUGGCCCAGAUGAUUUCUCCUGCAAAUGGAAGAGGGAAUCAGAGCAUCUCACAGUCAGGGCAGAGGCCCCGGGGACACGCCCAUCCGAGGCAUGUUUGAGAUGGCGGAUCCAGUCCAAGCCCAUCGUUGCGCAGACUGGAAAUCUGAUUCUCAGAGUGGAGAAGAGAUUUAUCCAAAUAUCCUCCCUGAGCUAACAUCCAUGCCAAUCCUCCUCUUUUUGCUGAAGAAGACUGGCCCUGAGCUAACAUCUGUGCCCAUCUUCCUCCACUUUAUCUGGGACGCCGCCACAGUAUGGCCUGACAAGCGGUGCAUGGGUGCACGCCCGGGAUCCAAACCUGAGCCACCAGCAGCAGAGCGCGCGCACUUAACUGCUACGCCACGGGGCCAGCCCCACUAACAUACAUACUUUACAUGUACAUUUGUGCAUAUGGCUAUAAUCAUUUUGUAAACAUUUUUAUAACCUUGUUUCACUUAAUGUUAUACAUGUUUCCCUGAACGUUUUCCAUGUAGCCUUCUACCUUCUGCAGAAUAUUUCAUCAAGAAA